GACAUUAUACUUUAAUACAAAAGAAUUGAUUUGCAUUCAAUAAAUAAAGACCAGAUCUUUUAAUGCCA
RNAcentral lists this transfer RNA (68 nucleotides) under Ennucula tenuis. RNAcentral describes it as "tRNA-Ala". The record is from RNAcentral. Lineage: Eukaryota; Metazoa; Mollusca; Bivalvia; Nuculida; Nuculidae.